GGGAUAUGGCUCAGCUGGUUAGAGCGCUUCGUUCACAUCGAAGAAGUCGGGGGUUCGAGUCCCUCUAUCCCC
RNAcentral lists this transfer RNA (72 nucleotides) under human gut metagenome. It matches the Rfam family "tRNA". Rfam says of the family: Transfer RNA (tRNA) molecules are approximately 80 nucleotides in length. Their secondary structure includes four short double-helical elements and three loops (D, anti-codon, and T loops). Further hydrogen bonds mediate the characteristic L-shaped molecular structure. tRNAs have two regions of fundamental functional importance: the anti-codon, which is responsible for specific mRNA codon recognition, and the 3' end, to which the tRNAs corresponding amino acid is attached (by aminoacyl-tRNA synthetases). tRNAs cope with the degeneracy of the genetic code in two manners: having more than one tRNA (with a specific anti-codon) for a particular amino acid; and 'wobble' base-pairing, i.e. permitting non-standard base-pairing at the 3rd anti-codon position. The record is from RNAcentral.